GAUGAACGCUGGCGGCGUGCCUAAUACAUGCAAGUCGAGCGAACGGACGAGAAGCUUGCUUCUCUGAUGUUAGCGGCGGACGGGUGAGUAACACGUGGAUAACCUACCUAUAAGACUGGGAUAACUUCGGGAAACCGGAGCUAAUACCGGAUAAUAUUUUGAACCGCAUGGUUCAAAAGUGAAAGACGGUCUUGCUGUCACUUAUAGAUGGAUCCGCGCUGCAUUAGCUAGUUGGUAAGGUAACAGCUUACCAAGGCAACGAUGCAUAGCCGACCUGAGAGGGUGAUCGGCCACACUGGAACUGAGACACGGUCCAGUCUCCUACGGGAGGCAGCAGUAGGGAAUCUUCCGCAAUGGGCGAAAGCCUGACGGAGCAACGCCGCGUGAGUGAUGAAGGUCUUCGGAUCGUAAAACUCUGUUAUUAGGGAAGAACAUAUGUGUAAGUAACUGUGCACAUCUUGACGGUACCUAAUCAGAAAGCCACGGCUAACUACGUG
Molecule: ribosomal RNA, 497 nt
Filed under: uncultured bacterium
Lineage: Bacteria
Description: partial 16S ribosomal RNA
Rfam family: Bacterial small subunit ribosomal RNA
Source: RNAcentral